RNAcentral lists this ribosomal RNA (460 nucleotides) under uncultured bacterium. RNAcentral describes it as "partial 16S ribosomal RNA". It matches the Rfam family "Bacterial small subunit ribosomal RNA", at positions 338 to 795 of the family's 1533-position model. The record is from RNAcentral.
CCUACGGGAGGCAGCAGUGAGGAAUAUUGGUCAAUGGACGCAAGGCUGAACCAGCCAAGCCGCGUGCAGGAAGACGGCUCUAUGAGUUGUAAACUGCUUUUGUAAGAGGGUAAACGCAGAUACGUGUAUCUGUCUGAAAGUACCGUACGAAUAAGGAUCGGCUAACUCCGUGCCAGCAGCUGCGGUAAUACGGAGGAUUCAAGCGUUAUCCGGAUUUAUUGGGUUUAAAGGGUGCGUAGGCGGUCGGAUAAGUUAGAGGUGAAAUCCCGAGGCUCAACUUCGGAAUUGCCUCUGAUACUGUUCGUCGAGAGAGUAGUUGCGGUAGGCGGAAUGUAUGGUGUAGCGGUGAAAUGCUUAGAUAUCAUACAGAACACCGAUUGCGAAGGCAGCUUACCAAGCUACUUCUGACGUUGAGGCACGAAAGCGUGGGGAGCAAACAGGAUUAGAUACCCUGGUAGUC